Molecule: transfer RNA, 72 nt
Filed under: Noturus leptacanthus (speckled madtom)
Lineage: Eukaryota; Metazoa; Chordata; Actinopteri; Siluriformes; Ictaluridae
Description: tRNA-Lys
Rfam family: tRNA
About the family: Transfer RNA (tRNA) molecules are approximately 80 nucleotides in length. Their secondary structure includes four short double-helical elements and three loops (D, anti-codon, and T loops). Further hydrogen bonds mediate the characteristic L-shaped molecular structure. tRNAs have two regions of fundamental functional importance: the anti-codon, which is responsible for specific mRNA codon recognition, and the 3' end, to which the tRNAs corresponding amino acid is attached (by aminoacyl-tRNA synthetases). tRNAs cope with the degeneracy of the genetic code in two manners: having more than one tRNA (with a specific anti-codon) for a particular amino acid; and 'wobble' base-pairing, i.e. permitting non-standard base-pairing at the 3rd anti-codon position.
Source: RNAcentral
UAUUAGAAAGCUAUAGGGACUAGCGUUAGCCUUUUAAGCUAAAGAUUGGCGGCCCCCAACCGCCUCUAAUAA